Molecule: ribosomal RNA, 2923 nt
Filed under: Klebsiella pneumoniae
Lineage: Bacteria; Pseudomonadati; Pseudomonadota; Gammaproteobacteria; Enterobacterales; Enterobacteriaceae
Description: 23S ribosomal RNA
Rfam family: Bacterial large subunit ribosomal RNA
Source: RNAcentral
GGGUUGUGAGGUUAAGCGACUAAGCGUACACGGUGGAUGCCCUGGCAGUCAGAGGCGAUGAAGGACGUGCUAAUCUGCGAAAAGCGUCGGUAAGGUGAUAUGAACCGUUAUAACCGGCGAUGUCCGAAUGGGGAAACCCAGUGCAAUUCGUUGCACUAUCGUUAACUGAAUACAUAGGUUAACGAGGCGAACCGGGGGAACUGAAACAUCUAAGUACCCCGAGGAAAAGAAAUCAACCGAGAUUCCCCCAGUAGCGGCGAGCGAACGGGGAGCAGCCCAGAGUCUGAAUCAGCUUGUGUGUUAGUGGAACGGUCUGGAAAGUCCGACGGUACAGGGUGAUAGUCCCGUACACCAAAAUGCACAGGCUGUGAACUCGAAGAGUAGGGCGGGACACGUGGUAUCCUGUCUGAAUAUGGGGGGACCAUCCUCCAAGGCUAAAUACUCCUGACUGACCGAUAGUGAACCAGUACCGUGAGGGAAAGGCGAAAAGAACCCCGGCGAGGGGAGUGAAAAAGAACCUGAAACCGUGUACGUACAAGCAGUGGGAGCACCUUCGGGUGUGACUGCGUACCUUUUGUAUAAUGGGUCAGCGACUUAUAUUCUGUAGCAAGGUUAACCGUAUAGGGGAGCCGCAGGGAAACCGAGUCUUAACUGGGCGUUAAGUUGCAGGGUAUAGACCCGAAACCCGGUGAUCUAGCCAUGGGCAGGUUGAAGGUUGGGUAACACUAACUGGAGGACCGAACCGACUAAUGUUGAAAAAUUAGCGGAUGACUUGUGGCUGGGGGUGAAAGGCCAAUCAAACCGGGAGAUAGCUGGUUCUCCCCGAAAGCUAUUUAGGUAGCGCCUCGUGAACUCAUCUUCGGGGGUAGAGCACUGUUUCGGCUAGGGGGUCAUCCCGACUUACCAACCCGAUGCAAACUACGAAUACCGAAGAAUGUUAUCACGGGAGACACACGGCGGGUGCUAACGUCCGUCGUGAAGAGGGAAACAACCCAGACCGCCAGCUAAGGUCCCAAAGUCAUGGUUAAGUGGGAAACGAUGUGGGAAGGCACAGACAGCCAGGAUGUUGGCUUAGAAGCAGCCAUCAUUUAAAGAAAGCGUAAUAGCUCACUGGUCGAGUCGGCCUGCGCGGAAGAUGUAACGGGGCUAAACCAUGCACCGAAGCUGCGGCAGCGACACUAUGUGUUGUUGGGUAGGGGAGCGUUCUGUAAGCCUGCGAAGGUGACCUGUGAGGGUUGCUGGAGGUAUCAGAAGUGCGAAUGCUGACAUAAGUAACGAUAAAGCGGGUGAAAAGCCCGCUCGCCGGAAGACCAAGGGUUCCUGUCCAACGUUAAUCGGGGCAGGGUGAGUCGACCCCUAAGGCGAGGCCGAAAGGCGUAGUCGAUGGGAAACAGGUUAAUAUUCCUGUACUUGGUGUUACUGCGAAGGGGGGACGGAGAAGGCUAUGUUAGCCGGGCGACGGUUGUCCCGGUUUAAGCAUGUAGGCUGAUUGUCCAGGCAAAUCCGGAUAAUCAAGGCUGAGGUGUGAUGACGAGGCACUACGGUGCUGAAGUAACAAAUGCCCUGCUUCCAGGAAAAGCCUCUAAGCAUCAGGUAACAUUAAAUCGUACCCCAAACCGACACAGGUGGUCAGGUAGAGAAUACCAAGGCGCUUGAGAGAACUCGGGUGAAGGAACUAGGCAAAAUGGUGCCGUAACUUCGGGAGAAGGCACGCUGGUGUGUAGGUGAAGUCCCUGCGGAUGGAGCUGAGACCAGUCGAAGAUACCAGCUGGCUGCAACUGUUUAUUAAAAACACAGCACUGUGCAAACACGAAAGUGGACGUAUACGGUGUGACGCCUGCCCGGUGCCGGAAGGUUAAUUGAUGGGGUUAUCCGUAAGGAGAAGCUCUUGAUCGAAGCCCCGGUAAACGGCGGCCGUAACUAUAACGGUCCUAAGGUAGCGAAAUUCCUUGUCGGGUAAGUUCCGACCUGCACGAAUGGCGUAAUGAUGGCCAGGCUGUCUCCACCCGAGACUCAGUGAAAUUGAACUCGCUGUGAAGAUGCAGUGUACCCGCGGCAAGACGGAAAGACCCCGUGAACCUUUACUAUAGCUUGACACUGAACAUUGAGCCUUGAUGUGUAGGAUAGGUGGGAGGCUUUGAAGCGUGGACGCCAGUCUGCGUGGAGCCAACCUUGAAAUACCACCCUUUAAUGUUUGAUGUUCUAACGUUGGCCCCUUACCGGGGUUGCGGACAGUGUCUGGUGGGUAGUUUGACUGGGGCGGUCUCCUCCCAAAGCGUAACGGAGGAGCACGAAGGUUAGCUAAUCCUGGUCGGACAUCAGGAGGUUAGUGCAAUGGCAUAAGCUAGCUUGACUGCGAGCGUGACGGCGCGAGCAGGUGCGAAAGCAGGUCAUAGUGAUCCGGUGGUUCUGAAUGGAAGGGCCAUCGCUCAACGGAUAAAAGGUACUCCGGGGAUAACAGGCUGAUACCGCCCAAGAGUUCAUAUCGACGGCGGUGUUUGGCACCUCGAUGUCGGCUCAUCACAUCCUGGGGCUGAAGUAGGUCCCAAGGGUAUGGCUGUUCGCCAUUUAAAGUGGUACGCGAGCUGGGUUUAGAACGUCGUGAGACAGUUCGGUCCCUAUCUGCCGUGGGCGCUGGAGAAUUGAGGGGGGCUGCUCCUAGUACGAGAGGACCGGAGUGGACGCAUCACUGGUGUUCGGGUUGUCAUGCCAAUGGCACUGCCCGGUAGCUAAAUGCGGAAGAGAUAAGUGCUGAAAGCAUCUAAGCACGAAACUUGCCCCGAGAUGAGUUCUCCCUGAGACUUUAAGUCUCCUGAAGGAACGUUGAAGACGACGACGUUGAUAGGCCGGGUGUGUAAGCGCAGCGAUGCGUUGAGCUAACCGGUACUAAUGAACCGUGAGGCUUAACCUUACAACGCCGAAG